Long non-coding RNA from Maniola jurtina (meadow brown), 464 nucleotides. RefSeq lists it as uncharacterized. The record is from RefSeq and is a predicted model, not a curated record. NCBI's taxonomy places the organism in Eukaryota, Metazoa, Arthropoda, Insecta, Lepidoptera, Nymphalidae. The transcript has 3 exons.
ACUUGGUGUAAUUUGGUCCACCUCUUCAUUCAUUAAAUGUAAUUUGGUUCACUUUACAAUCGCGUCAGUCUCCCGGCUUCUGUUCCUAUGGUAUAAUUUAUAACCGCUUAUAAACUCUGUAGUAAUAGCUAAUAUCGCCUUCCAUCUGUCUGUCCCCUGGGACCUCCUCUUCGUCCACUAAGUGGAACUGUUGCUUGUCGAUGUUGGGAAAGAAUGUGUCACAGUCAAAUGACUUUUGUAUCUCUGUUAGGUAUAUUUUACGAUUUGGAUGUGGUUUACUUUAUAAUUGCGUCAGUACCCUGGCUUCUGUUCCUAUGGUAUAAUUUAUAACCGCUUAUAAACUCUGUAGUAAUAGCUAAUAUCGCCUUCCAUCUGUCUGUCCCCUGGGACCUCCUCUUCGUCCACCAAGUGGAACUGUUGCUUGUCGAUGUUGGGAAAGAAUGUGUCACAGUCAAAUGACUUCU